CAACAUUCACAGAAUUUCCGAAAAUUGGGGCGUUACAACUCUACCCUCCUUAAAGAAAUUUUGUCCUCGAAAUUUACCUAAUCCAAACAGAUGAGGGUAUUGCUGUUGCAUCGUCUCUUCUGGCUCCCAAACUCAGAAGUUUCCCCUUCCUUAACUUGUUGAAAACGAGCGACCAAAGACUCAUCGUUCAACUGUUUUUCCUUAAUCUGAUCCAACCAGGUUGGCCUCACUUGCAACUCAGCCAACAGACUUCCAUCAUCAUACAGACUCAGACGAGCAAACAUUGCUCUCAGAUCAGAUACAGCUCUACGACUUAGAGCAUCGGCUACCACAUUAGCCUUGCUUGGGUGAUACUCGAUCGAACA
Molecule: long non-coding RNA, 365 nt
Filed under: Gossypium barbadense (sea-island cotton)
Lineage: Eukaryota; Viridiplantae; Streptophyta; Magnoliopsida; Malvales; Malvaceae
Description: long non-coding RNA (GBAR_LNC005645)
Source: RNAcentral